GUACACACCGCCCGUCGCUACUACCGAUUGGGAGGAGGGGUGAGGUUUUUGGAGGUAAGGUUGGAGGGGAGACUUUUUGACCGGACUGAAGAUGAACAAACUCUUUCUCCUAGAGGAAGUAAAAGUCGUAACAAGGUUUCCGUAGGUGAACCUGCAGAAGGAUCA
Molecule: ribosomal RNA, 165 nt
Filed under: uncultured eukaryote
Lineage: Eukaryota
Description: partial small subunit ribosomal RNA
Rfam family: Eukaryotic small subunit ribosomal RNA
Source: RNAcentral